Molecule: ribosomal RNA, 497 nt
Filed under: uncultured bacterium
Lineage: Bacteria
Description: partial 16S ribosomal RNA
Rfam family: Bacterial small subunit ribosomal RNA
Source: RNAcentral
GAUGAACGCUGGCGGCGUGCCUAAUACAUGCAAGUCGAGCGAACGGACGAGAAGCUUGCUUCUCUGAUGUUAGCGGCGGACGGGUGAGUAACACGUGGAUAACCUACCUAUAAGACUGGGAUAACUUCGGGAAACCGGAGCUAAUACCGGAUAAUAUUUUGAACCGCAUGGUUCAAAAGUGAAAGACGGUCUUGCUGUCACUUAUAGAUGGAUCCGCGCUGCAUUAGCUAGUUGGUAAGGUAACGGCUUACCAAGGCAACGAUGCAUAGCCGACCUGAGAGGGUGAUCGGCCACCCGGGAACGGAGACACGGACCAGACGCCUACGGGAGGCAGCAGUAGGGAAUCUGCCGCAAUGGGCGAAAGCCUGACGGAGCAACGCCGCGUGAGUGAUGAAGGUCUUCGGAUCGUAAAACUCUGUUAUUAGGGAAGAACAUAUGUGUAAGUAACUGUGCACAUCUUGACGGUACCUAAUCAGAAAGCCACGGCUAACUACGUG